UUGGGAAACUGAGACAGGAGCAUAUUGAGUUGAGGGUCAGUCAAAUAACAACGGCGUCUCUUUUUCUUUUUCUUUCUUCCUUUCUUUCUUUCUUUCUUUCUUUUUUUUUUUAAAAAACCUUUAAUAGCCUCAAGUUCAUCUUUGUGAUUAACUUUUUAUUUUUAUUGUUUUUUAUAAUUUAUUAUUUUGUUUGUAUAUAUGUGUGGGUGAGUGCCUGCCUGAGGAGGUCAGAAGAGGUCCUCAGAGAUGGAUGUGCUGGGAAUAGAAUCCGGGACUUUCUGGAGGAGCAGCAAGCACUCUUAAACACUGAACCACUUCUCCUGCCCAGUGUUUUAUUCUGUUUUUUAAUUUAGGAAAAGGUCUUUGGGAGACAAGUACUUAAAAUACACAUUCUUGCGAUGCUUAAAUCUUCCUGGAAGAGUUAACGAUUCAGUCAGAUAGUAUCUUUACCAAAAAGGUAACAGAAUCCUAAUUCUGCAAGUCUCACCAAUAUAGUACUUUAUCAUAUAAUGGUUAAACCCAAAGAAAAAACGAUUCCACAGUAAAACCAUAGACUUUUUCUCUAGACAGGGACUACACUGGGUAGACUAGGCUCUGUAGACCGGGCCUCGAACUCACAGUGAUCCACCUGCCUCUACCUCCCAGUGCUGGGAUUAAAGACGUGCUCCACCACGCCUAAACUUAAGUGUGGACUUUCGGUUGGUGGAAGGUGGUGAGAGAUCUUUCAUCAUUCGGUUCAAAGCCCCAGUGCCUGUGGAGGGAUGGCUUCCAAUAAAGAAGCUGCGGUUGCCCUCUAGAAGAUCCAGAAGACGAAGUACCCGCAACAGGCGGAGCCACAAGACGCCGGCGAUCAAAACCGCCAAGCCCUCGUCUUUUGUCUUCUCCAGGACUGAAAAGGAAUCCGGGCGGGAACCUGCUUGAGUCCUUCAGCUGGGACGCCCACUCGCCCACUCUUCAGCCUCAGCGAUUCUCACAAGGGUCAGUCCGUGAGAGACUGAGCCCGGGACCAGAGCCACCAGGGGGCGCACGCACCGCCGCCCGAAGAGGAAGUCCCGCCUCCCGUUUCCGGCGGCAGAAAGGGGGAGAGGCUGAAAGCGUCUUCCGGUUUGGGAAAGGUUGCGCUCAGUGCACGUGUGUCUUUUCCACCCGGCUCCUGCGUGUUCCUCUGUCCGAGUGAUCUUGUCUGUGGUACUCCUCGCAGGCCUAAGGAUGAAGGCGAGAAGAAAUAAAAAGCAGGUCCCAAGCUUUCGCAAGUUGAUAAAAACUAGUAAAGUGAAACUUGAAAACAAAUUGAAAAAUAAGCAAUUUAAACAACAAAGUACCAUCAAGAAGUACCGAAAAGAGCAGAGGAAACUAAGGCAAGCUGUAAAAGAUGCUGUGUCUAAAAAACCCAUUCCGCUGGAGGACCCAAAGAGCAAACGGCCAGUUAAAAGGAUGGAGAGGGAGGAGGACGAGGAGGAAGAAGCCCUGCCUUUGGAUAUGAUGGACGAGGAUGACCUACAGCUGAUGAAGGAUUUAGGACAAAAGGCAUCUUUUCUCACAAGAGAUCUCUCUUCUAGUGAACCAGUCCAUAUCAAGAAACGAAAGCAUGAGAGUGUGAUAGAGAAAUAUGAAAAAGUGCCAAGAACUCUGCAAACCGCACCGGAGAAGGAGUUGAUUCACCUGCUCCCUAUCAAGGACAAGAGUGGCAUCAUCCCUCAGGCUCGGGAGAAGCCGGUCACUGACGUGCAGCAAGAAGAGGAGGCUGAGGAAGAGCUGGAAGAUGAGGAAGAGGUCAUUGAAGACCCCAGGAAGGAGCUGACCAUAGAAGAGCAUGUGAUCGAGAGAAAGAAGAAACUGCAGGACAAGAAAAUACAGAUUGCAGCCUUAGCAUCUGCUAUUCUGUCAGAUCCAGAAAGUCAUAUUAAAAAACUGAAAGAGUUGCGUUCCAUGCUGAUGGAGCAGGACCCUGAUGUGGCUGUCACUGUCCGGAAGUUGGUUAUCAUCUCACUGAUGGAGCUGUUUAAGGACAUCACUCCCUCGUAUAAAAUCCGGCCUCUAACCGAAGCAGAAAAAUCUACCAAGAUUCGUAAAGAAACCCAGAAGUUAAGAGAAUUUGAAGAAGGCCUGGUUAGCCAAUACAAAUUUUAUUUGGAAAAUCUGGAGCAAAUAGUUAAAGACUGGAAGCAAAGGAAGCUGAAGAAGAGCAAUGUGGUGUCCUUAAAGGCCUACAAAGGGCUGGCUGAAGUGGCAGUGAAGAGCCUGUGUGAGCUGUUGGUGGCCCUGCCCCAUUUUAACUUUCACAACAACAUCAUUGUACUGAUUGUCCCUCUGAUGAACGAUGGGUCAAAACCGGUAUCUGAAAUGUGUUGCGAAGCAGUAAAGAAACUCUUUAAACAAGAUAAAUUAGGCCAAGCUUCUCUGGGUGUCAUUAAAGUCAUCUCUGGUUUUGUAAAGGGCAGAAAUUACGAAGUUAGGCCAGAGAUGUUAAAAACAUUUUUAUGCCUGCGGAUCAAGGAGGUAGAAGUGAAAAAAGAUACAGAGGACAUUAACAAGCCCAAAAGGUUCAUGACUUUCAAGGAGAAGAGAAAAACUCUAUCAAGAAUGCAAAGAAAGUGGAAGAAAGCAGAAGAGAAACUAGAGCGGGAACUUCGGGAGGCCGAAGCUUCGGAAAGCACUGAGAAAAAGCUGAAACUGCACACCGAGACUCUGAAUAUUGUGUUUGUGACCUACUUCAGAAUACUGAAGAAGGCCCAGAAGUCACCUCUUCUGCCAGCGGUUCUAGAAGGCCUUGCCAAGUUUGCACAUCUUAUAAAUGUGGAGUUUUUUGAUGAUUUAUUAGUGGUUCUUCAUACCCUCAUUGAGUCUGGGGAGCUAAGUUAUCAAGAAAGUCUCCACUGUGUUCAAACUGCUUUUCAUAUUCUUUCUGGACAAGGUGAUGUUUUAAAUAUUGACCCGAUGAAAUUCUAUACACAUCUCUACAAGACACUGUUCACAUUACAUGCAGGUUCUUCCAAAUUCAAGCAUUGGCCUUUUAGCAACUACCAGGAUAUUGAUGCAUACUUUUCCCAGAACAGAUCUCUUGCUUGAUAACGAGUCUCAGGGCAGCGGGGUGUUUCUACCUGAGCUGGAGGAGCCAGAGUACUGUAAUGCACAGAACACCGCACUGUGGGAGCUGCACACGCUUCGGAGACAUUACCAUCCCAUUGUGCGAAGGUUUGCAGCACAUCUGCUUGCUGGGGCACCAUCCGAAGGCUCUGAGGCCCUCAAGCCCGAGCUGAGCCGAAGAUCUGCAGUUGAACUUUUUGAGACUUACAGCAUGGCAGCAAUGACAUUCAAUCCGCCUGUUGAAUCUUCACACUCCAAAAGGAAGGAUAAAUUUUUACCAGGAGACUCAUUUUUGAAUGAAGAUUUAAAUCAACUAAUCAAAAGAUACUGUAAUGAAGCUGCUCCUGAGACACCGCUGGAUUUCGCCAAGUGUUUGGAAAGCUCAUCCCGGCAGUACAGAGUGAAUGGACUGUCUUAGAUAUCUGCAUGUGCAUGGCAGAGACACAAGGAUAUGUGAGGGCCUGUUUCUGUUUGUACAAGGAAGACUUCCUAAGAAUGAUUAUUUGAGAACUGGAGCAGGGCCACAGAAGACCCUGCUCAUUGGCUUGCUUUUCAUGCCUUGCUCGGCCUGCCUUUUUAUACAGUCCACACCAACUUGUCCAGGAAUGGCACUGCCCAUCAGUCAUGAAAUCUACAAAUGCCCUGCAGACGUGCCAUAGUCUAGUCUGUGGAGGCAGUCCUUCAGUUGAGAUUUCCUCUGCUCAGGUUACUCCAGUUAAGUAGACAAAACCUAAACAAGACAGCUAUUAAAUUCUCUUUAUAACUAAAAAAAUAUUGUUAUUGCAGCACCAUAGUUGAAAGCAAAUAAAAUAUUUUGUGGGUUUUUUUUUAACCUUCAUGGUUUUUUUUUUUUAUUUGAUUUAAUUUGAUUUGAAUUUUUUAUGAAUUUAUUUACUUAUUCACUUUACAUCCCCAUCGUAGAUCCCUUUCCUUCCAGUCCCCCUCCCCCCAUGACUCCUCCCUCCCACCCCCUCCCUGUCAUUUCUAAAGGAAUGAAGGUUCCCCCCUGGGUAUCUACCCACCCUGGCACCUCAAGUCACUACAGGACUAGGUACAUCCUCUUUUAGUGAGUUCAGACAAGACAGCCCAGGUAGGAGAACAGGGUCCACGGGCAGGCAACAGAGUCAGGGUAGGACCAGCUCCGGUUGUUGGGGGAUCCGAUGAAGACCAGCCUGUACAUCUGCUACAUAUGGGGGGAGGGCUAGGUUCAGCCCUCUGUGCUCUUUGGUUGGUGGUUCAGUCUCUGGGAGCCCCCAAUUUUGUGAAUUUUUUGAUAAAUAAGUUAAAGUUAUACUCUUGUUCAUUGGCUCUUGUUGAAUGACACAAGGAAUGACCAAAUCUGACCUUUAAGGAGGAAUGAGUGCUCUCAUUGCUAGUGUGAGAGAGAGUAUGAGUCAGAAUCUAGAGUCUUUGAAGUUGGGUUAACUUAUUACCUGAGAGUGAUAGGGGAAAAUUGCUCAGUAAGAUGAAAGGUCCAAGAUUUCCAUUGUGCCAUAGGAAUAUCGGUUCCUGUCCAACCAGGAAAGUGUUUUUCUCUUAAAUUCUUUGUUGUUGUUGUUUUGUUUUGUUUUCUUUUUUGAGACAGGGUUUUGUAGACCAGGCUGACCUUGAACUCAGAAAUCCACCUGCCUCUGCCUCCCAAGUGCUGGGAUUAAAGACGUGCGCCACCACCGCCCACCUUAAAUUCUUACAGAUAAAAACUGUAUAUGUUUAUAAAUAGUUAUAAAGAACUAUUUUAUAUAAUAGCUAUUAUCAUUGUAGAAAUGACUUACAAAUACAAAAUGUGUAUGUAAAUACUUUCUGCUAUUAACUGAAUAAAGUAGCUUCGAUUUUUACUUCCUA
Molecule: RNA transcript, 4929 nt
Organism: Mus musculus (house mouse)
Lineage: Eukaryota; Metazoa; Chordata; Mammalia; Rodentia; Muridae
Gene: Noc3l
Gene name: NOC3 like DNA replication regulator
Exons: 21
Source: RefSeq, marked validated